CAGUUUUUUUCAAUCGCUAACAAGCGUUUGUCCAAACAGUUGUCACAUUUUCAAAACUCUAAACACAAUUAGCACAGCAUCGGUGUUUUGUGGCCAUACCAUUCACACAUUUCAUGUCAUUUUCACACAAUAUGCAGUCAGUGAACACAUGUCCACAAUGCUUACAUUUUUCUUAACAGAUAAGCCAUACCUCCCAACAAAACGAUGGAUUGUUUUAGUAGUAUUCACAAAUGUUAACACACACCAUCCCACAAUAGCAAAAACAAUAUUCCAAACCGUAGAUACAGUAUAAAAACCUCUGCUUCUGCAAUGAUAUCAGUUCAAAAACAAUAUAUCUCAGCUGAUAAUGAACACUAUUGAAUAAUUGACAGCUGAUUUAUGUUGGGUAAAUUGGGCCAACAACAGCUGAUUCCAGUCUGGCUUAUUUAAGGAGGACUUUGAGGAGUGAUGUUUUUGGAAACAGAAACAGACAAACACUGUAAAGUCUGGACGAGGAAGAGGAAGAGCAAGGGGCCCAGGGAGAAGACCAGGUCCUGUGAGAGGUGCAGGUGAAGAAGGAGGUGCAGGUGCAGGAAGAGGAGCAGUGAGAGGUGCAGUAAGAGGUGCAGGUCCAGUGAGAGAUGUAGAAGGAGGUGCAGUGAGAGGAAGAGGAGCCGGCCCAAGGAGAGAGCAAGGUAGAGGUGUAAGAAUGCGUGGUGGUGGCAUUCCAAGGGCUGUAAGAACAGUAGUCAGUGAUGAAAUUCGUGCCACUAUCAUUGACCAUGUAAUCAACCCCGGUCUCUCACUAAGAGAGGCUGGUGAAAGAGUCCAACCCAAUUUGAGUCGGUCAACGGUUGCCUCCAUUAUUCGUAUCUUUCAACAAACCAACAGGUAAGUAUUGAAUUUUACAUGGUUUGUUUCUAUACUCAUUUGACAUG
Long non-coding RNA from Gasterosteus aculeatus aculeatus (three-spined stickleback), 917 nucleotides. The record is from Ensembl. Lineage: Eukaryota; Metazoa; Chordata; Actinopteri; Perciformes; Gasterosteidae.